This 2060-nucleotide ribosomal RNA is filed under the name marine metagenome. RNAcentral describes it as "bacterial LSU rRNA". It matches the Rfam family "Bacterial large subunit ribosomal RNA", at positions 14 to 2112 of the family's 2925-position model. The record is from RNAcentral.
AGCGUGCACGGUGGAUGCCUAGGCAGUCAGAGGCGAUGAAGGACGUGGUAACCUGCGAAAAGCUUUGGGAAGGUGGUAAACAACCUAUGAUCCAGAGAUAUCCGAAUGGGGAAACCCACCCAGCGUAAGCUGGGUAUCUUAUACUGAAUACAUAGGUAUAAGAGGCGAACCGGGAGAACUGAAACAUCUAAGUACCCCGAGGAAAAGAAAUCAAUUGAGAUUCCCCUAGUAGCGGCGAGCGAACGGGGAUUAGCCCUUAAGUUUAUUAUGUUUUAGCGGAAGUAGCUGGAAAGUUACGCCAUAGUGGGUGAUAGCCCCGUACGCGAAAAGGCAUUUUAGAUGAAAACGAGUAGGUCGGGACACGAGAAAUCUUGACUGAACAUGGGGGGACCAUCCUCCAAGGCUAAAUACUCCUGACUGACCGAUAGUGAACCAGUACCGUGAGGGAAAGGCGAAAAGAACCCCUGUGAGGGGAGUGAAAUAGAUCCUGAAACCGUGUACGUACAAGCAGUGGGAGCCGAUUUAUUCGGUGACUGCGUACCUUUUGUAUAAUGGGUCAGCGACUUAAUUUUAGUAGCAAGCUUAACCGAAUAGGGGAGGCGUAGGGAAACCGAGUCUUAAUAGGGCGUAUAGUUGCUAGGAUUAGACCCGAAACCGGGCGAUCUACCCAUGGCCAGGUUGAAGGUUGAGUAACAUCAACUGGAGGACCGAACCCACGUAUGUUGAAAAAUGCGGGGAUGAGCUGUGGGUCGGAGUGAAAGGCUAAUCAAGCCCGGAGAUAGCUGGUUCUCCUCGAAAGCUAUUUAGGUAGCGCCUCGUGUCUCACCAUUGGGGGUAGAGCACUGUUUCGGCUAGGGGGUCAUCCCGACUUACCAACCCGAUGCAAACUCCGAAUACCAAUGAGUGCAAUCACGGGAGACACACGGCGGGUGCUAACGUCCGUCGUGGAAAGGGAAACAACCCAGACCGUCAGCUAAGGUCCCAAAGUUAUAGUUAAGUGGGAAACGAUGUGGGAAGGUUUAGACAGCUAGGAGGUUGGCUUAGAAGCAGCCAUCCUUUAAAGAAAGCGUAAUAGCUCACUAGUCGAAUCGGCCUGCGCGGAAGAUAUAACGGGGCUCAAACUAUACACCGAAGCUACGGACGCAUGCUUGCAUGCGUGGUAGAGGAGCGUUCUGUAGGCCGUUGAAGGGAAAGCUGAGAGGCAUCCUGGAGGUAUCAGAAGUGCGAAUGCUGACAUGAGUAACGAUAAGGGGAGUGAAAAGCUCCCCCGCCGGAAGACCAAGGUUUCCUAUCCAAUGCUAAUCAGGGUAGGGUGAGUCGGCCCCUAAGGCGAGGCUGAAGAGCGUAGUCGAUGGGAAGCAGGUUAAUAUUCCUGCACCACUCAAUAUUGCGAAGGAGGGACGGAGAAGGCUAGUCCAGCGCGGCGUUGGUUGUCCGCGUUUAAGCGUGUAGGCUUAAAUCUUAGGUAAAUCCGGGAUUUUUUAAGGCUGAGGCGUGAUGACGAGGUCCAUUAGGACUGAAGUGGUUGAUGCCAUGCUUCCAGGAAAAGCUUCUAAGCAUCAGAUAUUGAGUGACCGUACCCCAAACCGACACAGGUGGUCAGGUAGAGAAUACCAAGGCGCUUGAGAGAACUCGGGUGAAGGAACUAGGCAAAAUGGUACCGUAACUUCGGGAGAAGGUACGCCGCUGAUGGUGAUGGGACUUGCUCCCUAAGCUGUUGGCGGCCGAAGAUACCAGGUGGCUGCGACUGUUUAUUAAAAACACAGCACUGUGCAAACACGAAAGUGGACGUAUACGGUGUGACGCCUGCCCGGUGCCGGAAGGUUAAUUGAUGGGGUUAGCUUCGGCGAAGCUCUUGAUCGAAGCCCCGGUAAACGGCGGCCGUAACUAUAACGGUCCUAAGGUAGCGAAAUUCCUUGUCGGGUAAGUUCCGACCUGCACGAAUGGCGUAACGACGGCCACACUGUCUCCACCCGAGACUCAGUGAAAUUGAAAUCGCUGUUAAGAUGCAGUGUAUCCGCGGCUAGACGGAAAGACCCCGUGAACCUUUACUAUAGCUU